ACCCUUCCUCGCUCUAUCUCCGUCCUCUCUCGUCUUACCUCAUCUCUGAGUUCUCUCUCGGCUCCGAAAUUGGGAGGGGUUGGGAUUUGGGAGGCCAGUCGCCGUACUGGUAUCGGGUCCGGCCUGGCCGUGGGGCCUGGUCGGUAACAACUUUACCCGAUAAGGAUAUCGGAUUCAUUUGCUGGGCUCAUCUCUUAACGGGUCCCCAAUAUCCUGACCAUUCUAUUAUUUUAUGGUUUCCUCCCACCGUCCCCGUCGCUGCCAUCGCCGCCUUCUUUCGGUCCGGCGGCUUCCUCUUCCUCUCUUCUCUCCCUCUCCUUCCCUUUCCUCUCCGUUUCUCCGGUGAUCUGUGGCGGUCUCAAGUUCGGUGCCUGGCGGUUGGAGUGCUGUGAGUUGAGUGGCUCGCCCUGCUGUGCCGAGUCAGGCCGCCCCUUCCCGUCCACUACGGCUGGAGAUAGCUGAUUGACCUCCGGAGAGGAAGAAGUGUGCAAAGAACUAAGAGGGAAAGAGAGAGAUUGGGGUGGAAGGCAGCUGAGAAGAUAAUCCAACGCUGGAAGAUCCUCAGAGGAGAUAAUGUAAUGAUCAUAAGAGGGAAAGAUAAGGGUGAGACAGGUGCCAUCAAACGCGUUAUCCGAUCCCAGAAUCGAGUCAUCAUUGAGGGAAAUAAUCUGGUU
This is a non-coding RNA of Phoenix dactylifera (date palm), 674 nucleotides long. NCBI's taxonomy places the organism in Eukaryota, Viridiplantae, Streptophyta, Magnoliopsida, Arecales, Arecaceae. The record is from RefSeq and is a predicted model, not a curated record.